Gossypium raimondii (Peruvian cotton) is the source of this 609-nucleotide long non-coding RNA. RefSeq lists it as uncharacterized. NCBI's taxonomy places the organism in Eukaryota, Viridiplantae, Streptophyta, Magnoliopsida, Malvales, Malvaceae. The record is from RefSeq and is a predicted model, not a curated record. The transcript has 2 exons.
UCUGCGUUUUUAAAAAAAAAACAUCGAGAGCUCUCCCUUUUUCUCUCGGUUUUUCCCACAUCUGACCCCGGCACCGACGAGCCUCCGCUGUGGCUGAAAAAUAAAAAUUGCUUGUAGUCCCUUUUCUAAAAAAAAAAUUUAAACCCAUAUCUAAAUAGAAUAUUUUUUGAAAUAAAAGAAAAACAAAAAAAAAAAAAACGCGAAGGAAAACCUUCAGCCUCGCUGCGUUCAUCAGACCCUCGUCGGGACCGUAAUGGGUUCUGAGAUAUUCGGGGUGUCGGAGGUGGUCCUUGACUGCGGCGGAAGGUGGAACGGCAUUAUUGGUGCAUGGUCAACGGCGAGAAAAGAGGCCUGCGCUGGCCAUUUUGGUGAAAUGGUGGCCAAGGAGCAUCAGGCUUCCGGACGAGGAGCGCUAACAUGGCCAAGGGCAGCGGCACAAAUGGGAUUAGGGUUUUUUAGUUUUACUAAGAGAUAAUUUUGGUUGUGGGCCUAUAAUUAAGUUUUAAGGUUUUGUAUCAGGCUAUAUUUUGGGCUUUAAUUUUUUAUAUUUAGGCAAUUAUUGUAAUUGGACUUUGGACUCUUAUUUAUUUAGUUCUAUUUAUUUUGUUA